CCGGCGUGGCGAGCGGAGCAUGCGUAAGGCAGCCUCCUUUCUGGCCACGUCUGCCGGGUUGUGUUGUGUAGCUGCAGCGCAGCAGUAGCAGCUGCUCUGGGUUAAACUCAGCCUAGGAUCGGGGAUGCGGGAGAAUCCUCUGGGCUGCCGUGCGCGCCCCUGGACGGGGUUGCAUUGGCUGCAGCUGGUGGUGCUUGGUUUGCUCGUACUUCGUACCUUCGCCUGGGAGAGCGGCGACUUGGAGCUCUUCGACCUCGUGGAGGAAGUCCCGCAAAACUUCUAUGCUUUCCUCGGCGUUGAGCAGGAUGCUCCAUCGGCAGAUAUUAGGAAAGCUUAUCGCAAGCUUUCACUGAUAUUACAUCCAGACAAGAAUAAAGAUGAAAAUGCUGAAACCCAAUUCAGACAAUUGGUGGCCAUAUACGAGGUUUUAAAGGAUGAAGAGAGAAGGCAUAGGUAUGAUGAUAUUCUGAUCAAUGGGCUACCAGAUUGGCGACAGCCUGUAUUUUAUUACAGGCGAGUGAGGAAAAUGAGCAAUGAAGAGUUGGCAUUACUUCUGUUCAUUAUCCUCACAGUAGGACAUUAUGCCGUGGUUUGGUCUAUCUACCUGGAAAAACAACUGGAUGAGCUGCUUUGUAGAAAAAAGAAGGAGAAGAAGAAAAGAUCUGGAGGGAAGAAUAGUGAUGAAGUGAAAUUUGGUGUAGAGAAGAGUGAAAGACUGGUGGAAAAACCACAGUGGCGGGACCUACUUCCAUGUAAAGUGGGAAUAUGGUGCUACACAAUGGUAAAAGCAUUGCCUCAAUUAUUUCAGGAGGCCAGGCAACUCUACGUAGAAUAUAAAGAAACAAAAAUAAAAGAGAAAGAAGAGGCUUUGGCAAGAGCUGAACUGGAAACACUUCAGAAGGAAAAAAAACCUAAAAUCAAGAAACCAAAAACUGAAUUUCCUGUAUAUACUGUGGUUGAAACAAAUGCAUAUAUACCAUCAUAUGAUCAUGGGACUUCUAUUGAAGAAAUUGAGGACCAGAUGGAUGAUUGGUUGGAAGACAGGAACAAAUCUCUUAAAAAAAAGGACCCUGAAUGGAUAGAAGAGGAUCUUAGCCAACUGACAAGAAGUAUGGUUAAGUUCCCAGGGGGGACGCCUGGUCGAUGGGAAAAGAUUGCUCACGAAUUGGGUCGAUCCGUGGCAGAUGUUACAAUGAAGGCCAAGCAGAUUAAAGAUUCAGUUUCAAGUGCUCCAGGUACUAUUAAAUUCUCAGAGUUGAAAACUUUGGCUCAAAGCUCAAGAUCCAGCAAGGUCAGUAUUAACUUACCUGAUCUUAUAAUCACUCAACGGGAUAAAGAAGAAGAUGACCAGGAGGAAAAGUCAAAGUACAAUUUCGAUCCAGAAACAAUAAAUAAGAUCACAACAGAUGAACAAGAGACUGGGUUAAAUGAAGCCCGACAUCGCAAGCGGAAAACAAUACCAAAGGCUGCUGAAACAAUAUUCCCAGGGACAAAAGAGACAACAGAGGACAAGUAUAGAGGGAAGCGCCAGAAGGACUUUGACACUGCAGAACAAGAGGAAUAUAGUGAUGAUGAGGUCAGGAAAAAAGAGAGAUGUCGUAGUUCAGAUGACUUAUGGACUCAGAAUCAACAGAAGCUUCUAGAGCUGGCUUUGCAACAGUAUCCAAAGGGAAUGCUGGAACGUUGGGAUAAAAUUGCCAAGUGUGUUCCAGGAAAAAGCAAGAGGCAGUCCUGUCUGUCAUGAAGUCUUCCGCCGAAAGCUGGGAGUGGCCAGCUACAGGGGUGGAGCUAAGAUAAUCAGCUUUGACAGACUCUGUCCAAUCAGCUAGGACACUGCGUAACCCAUUCCUGGCCUAUCUAGCCUACAAGGAGAAGAGGCAUUCAAGAAGAAUGUAUGACUAGAUACAAACUGUUGGUUGAACUUAUACAAAAGAAAAAAAUGGCCAAAAGUUGAACAUUUUGAAGAUUAUUCAUCAAAAUGAGAAACAUUAAACAUCAUAUGCAGUGACUUGUAUUUU
Notechis scutatus (mainland tiger snake) is the source of this 2018-nucleotide RNA transcript. It is a transcript of the gene named DnaJ heat shock protein family (Hsp40) member C1, with no coding region annotated. The record is from RefSeq and is a predicted model, not a curated record. NCBI's taxonomy places the organism in Eukaryota, Metazoa, Chordata, Lepidosauria, Squamata, Elapidae.